GAAUGCUGACAUAAGUAACGAUAAUGCGGGUGAAAAACCCGCACGCCGGAAGACCAAGGGUUCCUGUCCAACGUUAAUCGGGGCAGGGUGAGUCGACCCCUAAGGCGAGGCCGAAAGGCGUAGUCGAUGGGAAACAGGUUAAUAUUCCUGUACUUGGUGUUACUGCGAAGGGGGGACGGAGAAGGCUAUGUUAGCCGGGCGACGGUUGUCCCGGUUUAAGCAUGUAGGCGGAGGUUCCAGGUAAAUCCGGUACCUUUUUAACGCUGAGGUGUGAUGACGAGGCACUACGGUGCUGAAGUAACAAAUGCCCUGCUUCCAGGAAAA
Molecule: ribosomal RNA, 324 nt
Filed under: Citrobacter freundii
Lineage: Bacteria; Pseudomonadati; Pseudomonadota; Gammaproteobacteria; Enterobacterales; Enterobacteriaceae
Description: partial 23S ribosomal RNA
Rfam family: Bacterial large subunit ribosomal RNA
Source: RNAcentral